GAUGAACGCUGGCGGCGUGCCUAAUACAUGCAAGUCGAGCGAACAGACGAGGAGCUUGCUCCUCUGACGUUAGCGGCGGACGGGUGAGUAACACGUGGAUAACCUACCUAUAAGACUGGGAUAACUUCGGGAAACCGGAGCUAAUACCGGAUAAUAUAUUGAACCGCAUGGUUCAAUAGUGAAAGACGGUUUUGCUGUCACUUAUAGAUGGAUCCGCGCCGCAUUAGCUAGUUGGUAAGGUAACGGCUUACCAAGGCAACGAUGCGUAGCCGACCUGAGAGGUGGAUCGCCCACACGGAAACUGAGACACGGUCAGGACUCCUACGGGAGGCAGCAGUAGGGAAUCUUCCGCAAGGGGCGAAAGCCUGACGGAGCAACGCGGCGUGAGUGAUGAAGGUCUUCGGAUCGUAAAACUCUGUUAUUAGGGAAGAACAAAUGUGUAAGUAACGAUGCACGUCUGGACGGUACCAAAUCAGAAAGCCACGGCUAACUACGU
This 496-nucleotide ribosomal RNA is filed under the name uncultured bacterium. RNAcentral describes it as "partial 16S ribosomal RNA". It matches the Rfam family "Bacterial small subunit ribosomal RNA", at positions 28 to 506 of the family's 1533-position model. The record is from RNAcentral.